ACUGCGAGUGAAGCGGGAAAAGCUCAAAUUUAAAAUCUGGCAGUCUUUGGCUGUCCGAGUUGUAUUCUAGAGAAGCGCUUUCCGUGCCGGACCGUGUACAAGUCUCUUGGAACAGAGCGUCAUAGAGGGUGAGAAUCCCGUCUUUGACACGGACUACCGGUGCUUUGUGAUGCGUUUUCAAAGAGUCGAGUUGUUUGGGAAUGCAGCUCAAAAUGGGUGGUAAAUUCCAUCUAAAGCUAAAUAUUGGCGAGAGACCGAUAGCGAACAAGUACCGUGAGGGAAAGAUGAAAAGCACUUUGGAAAGAGAGUUAAACAGUACGUGAAAUUGCUGAAAGGGAAACGCUUGAAGUCAGUCGCGUCGUUCAGAACUCAGCCUGGCUUUUGCUCGGUGCACUUUCUGAAUGACGGGCCAGCAUCAAUUUUGACUGUCGGAUAAAGGCCAGAGAAAUGUGGCUCCUUUGGGAGUGUUAUAGUCUCUGGUUGCAUACGAUGGUUGGGAUUGAGGAACUCAGCAUGCCUUUAUGGUCGGGGUUCGCCCACGUUCAUGCUUAGGAUGCUGGCGUAAUGGCUUUAAACGACCCGUCUUGAAACACGGACCAAGGAGUCUAACAUGCCUGCGAGUGUUUGGGUGGAAAACCCGAGCGCGCAAUGAAAGUGAAAGUUGGGAUCCCUGUCGUGGGGAGCACUGACGCCCGGACCAGACCUUCUGUGACGGAUCCGCGGUAGAGCAUGUAUGUUGGGACCCGAAAGAUGGUGAACUAUGCCUGAAUAGGGUGAAGCCAGAGGAAACUCUGGUGGAGGCUCGUAGCGAUUCUGACGUGCAAAUCGAUCGUCAAAUUUGGGUAUAGGG
This 850-nucleotide ribosomal RNA is filed under the name Physisporinus sp. 1 RS-2021. RNAcentral describes it as "partial 28S ribosomal RNA". It matches the Rfam family "Eukaryotic large subunit ribosomal RNA", at positions 86 to 922 of the family's 3401-position model. Lineage: Eukaryota; Fungi; Basidiomycota; Agaricomycetes; Polyporales; Meripilaceae. The record is from RNAcentral.